GAUAAACGCUGGCGGCGUGCCUAACACAUGCAAGUCGAACGCCCUUGAGCAAUCAAGGGAGUGGCGGACGGGUGAGGAACACGUGGGUUAUCUACCUUGAGGUGAGGAAUACCGGCGAGAAAUCGCCGACAAUACCGCAUACGCUCGCAAGAGCAAAGUCGUAAGACGCCACAAGAUGAGCCUGCGCCCGAUUAGUUAGUUGGUGGGGUAAUGGCCUACCAAGACGGCGAUCGGUAGCUGGUCUGAGAGGACGAUCAGCCACACUGGGAUUGAGAAC
RNAcentral lists this ribosomal RNA (277 nucleotides) under uncultured bacterium. RNAcentral's name for it is "partial 16S ribosomal RNA". It matches the Rfam family "Bacterial small subunit ribosomal RNA", at positions 28 to 326 of the family's 1533-position model. The record is from RNAcentral.